Non-coding RNA from Biomphalaria glabrata, 126 nucleotides. Lineage: Eukaryota; Metazoa; Mollusca; Gastropoda; Planorbidae. The record is from Rfam.
CUGAGCCUCAGUCGAAGCCAUAUUGUUAACUCAACUGUGUGGUCAUAAAUGAGGUAAAUUGAAUUUCUCUAGACGGUCGCAGGUCUUAAAAUAUUUGAUUUGCAUACAAUAAAGAGAAACAUUCAU